CGUGUAGGCGGCCGACCAAGUCCGAUGUGAAAGCUCGGGGCUCAACCCCGAGUCUGCAUUGGAAACUGGCCGGCUUGAGUCCGGAAGAGGAGACUGGAAUUCCUGGUGUAGCGGUGAAAUGCGCAGAUAUCAGGAAGAACACCGGUGGCGAAGGCGGGUCUCUGGGACGGUACUGACGCUGAGACGUGAAAGCGUGGGGAGCAAACA
This 207-nucleotide ribosomal RNA is filed under the name uncultured bacterium. RNAcentral's name for it is "partial 16S ribosomal RNA". It matches the Rfam family "Bacterial small subunit ribosomal RNA", at positions 568 to 774 of the family's 1533-position model. The record is from RNAcentral.